GCCCGGGUGGCUCAGUGGGUUAGGCAUCUGACUUCGGCUCAGGUCAUGAUCUCACAGUUCGUGGGUUUGAGCCCCACAUCGGGCU
Molecule: transfer RNA, 85 nt
Filed under: Felis catus (domestic cat)
Lineage: Eukaryota; Metazoa; Chordata; Mammalia; Carnivora; Felidae
Also listed under: 3 other names
Rfam family: tRNA
About the family: Transfer RNA (tRNA) molecules are approximately 80 nucleotides in length.
Source: Rfam by way of RNAcentral